This is a small nucleolar RNA of Scaptodrosophila lebanonensis, 370 nucleotides long. The record is from RefSeq and is a predicted model, not a curated record. Lineage: Eukaryota; Metazoa; Arthropoda; Insecta; Diptera; Drosophilidae.
UAAAAAUGAUGACAUAUUCGACACCCGAAACUCUACAUACCGUAGAGUAAAAGCAUGGCGCACACUGCUUGAGGCACUCCUGUGGCAAGACUCAGCCAUAGACAAUAGCAUCUCAGUUUCGUCCGUUGUAAUCUUAGCGGCCGCCUGAAAGUGUUCGGCGGUUGCUGUAAGGCCAGCGGAACAGUAAGCAUAGACAACACGCCAGUGACUGAGACUGUUGUCUGCCGUUAAACCAAGGCAGAUAAUUUACGCUUUGGCAUAUACUUCCACAUAUACUUUAAUGAAACGCUCGAUGCUAUUGCCGUUAAACAGCAGCUGCUGAGGUGUGCGUCAAUGCAACAUUGACGACGUCUUUAGUAAUCUGAUUUAU